UAGGGAAUCUUCCACAAUGGACGCAGGUCUGAUGGAGCAACGCCGCGUGAGUGAAGAAGGUUUUCGGACCGUAAAGCUCUGUUGUUGGUGAAGAAGGAUAGAGGUANUAACUGGCCUUUAUUUGANGGUAAUCAACCAGAAAGUCACGGCUAACUACGUGCCAGCAGCCGCGGUAAUCGUAGGUGGCAAGCGUUGUCCGGAUUUAUUGGGCGUAAAGCGAGCGCAGGCGGAAGAAUAAGUCUGAUGUGAAAGCCCUCGGCUUAACCGAGGAAUUGCAUCGGAAACUGUUUUUCUUGAGUGCAGAAGAGGAGAGUAGAACUCCAUGUGUAGCGGUGGAAUGCGUAGAUAUAUGGAAGAAUACCAGUGGCGAAGGCGGCUCUCUGGUCUGCAACUGACGCUGAGGCUCGAAAGCAUGGGUAGCGAACAGGAUUAGAUACCCUGGUAGUCCAUGCCGUAAACGAUGAGUGCUAAGUGUUGGGAGGCUUCCGCCUCUCAGUGCUGCAGCUAACGCAUUAAGCACUCCGCCUGGGGGAG
RNAcentral lists this ribosomal RNA (534 nucleotides) under uncultured bacterium. RNAcentral's name for it is "partial 16S ribosomal RNA". It matches the Rfam family "Bacterial small subunit ribosomal RNA", at positions 355 to 881 of the family's 1533-position model. The record is from RNAcentral.